Molecule: long non-coding RNA, 3326 nt
Filed under: Equus caballus (horse)
Lineage: Eukaryota; Metazoa; Chordata; Mammalia; Perissodactyla; Equidae
Description: lncRNA (ENSECAG00000047320.1)
Source: RNAcentral
AGGGACAGGCACCUGACCCAUAUUUGGACAAUAAUUUUCUCCUUGGGAAUUUUGAAGAGAUAGAGAUGAGAGAAAAAGAGCUGUCUUAACUCCUCUCCAGCUGAUUGGUCCAAUAACAUACAACGCUUGGGUGCUCUUGGCAGCCAUGUUUCCCUCACUGUGCAGAAGCCAAAAGCAGAAGAAGCUGGUCGGAUGAGAGAGAAAGAAAGAUGAGGAGACUCCCGGUGGCAUCUGAAUUUCUGGUUCCACUCCAUUCCUGAGGCCAGGCUAUAAUCUAGUUCCUGGUCUCUGAGACAUGUCCCUGUAGUGUUGUAAUUAAGUUUCCCUUUCUUGCUUAAACUAGUUUAGGUAGAUUUUUUGUUAUUUACAACCCAAAGAGCUAAGGAAUAGUAUGAACUUUCUUACCAGAUGCAUUUGUUCAUUCAAGAAAUAUUUUUGGAGCAACUGCUAUGUUCCAGGUAUGUGCAAGGUGCUGGAAAUUCAAUGAUGAUCAGGAUAGACGUGGUAUCUAUCCUCAGGGACUUUGUACUAGAUGGGUAAAAGGCCAGGGCAGGGCAGACAUGGAACAAAUGUUUGAUAUAUACGAAGAUAGAACAGAUUUAUGAGAACAUAGAACAAGGUUAUGAGAACUGACAAGCUGAAGACUGAAGGACUGGCCAGGAAGUGGUGGAAGGAGGUAGGAAUUAGGCCGUGGAGGAGGGAGAGCAUCCCAGGCAAGAGAAGAGUGUGCGCGAUGAUAACGCCAUCGUGAAGCCAGCAUCCUCUGGAGAGAAAGCAACACUUCAGGUGGAGCUCCAGCAGUAAUUUUUCAUCCAUGAGGUGAUCUUAAGGAUUGAAGUCACAUGCUAAGGAUGGCAGAGCAGAAGACAGAAGGCGCCCAGCUUCUAGGAUCUUGCAAAGUCCCCAUAUCAGCCUGGUCUGCCUGAAGACAGUUUACCAUGUGAUGCUGCUUGCCCUGGACCCUUGAAUAGCAGCGACCUAGGAGAUCUUUCCAGGUGCUGGGGAAAGAAAUGAUGAGAGAGGAGAAAGGGAAGCUGAAAGCAGAGAGGAGAGAAUUUCUGAAAAUGGGAAACGAAGUUAUUUAGCAGCUCUACCCUCAAGCAGGUUAGUAACUUAAUUAAUAAAAGCCAGGGCCUGUGCAUACACUAUUUAUUUGAUUCUUAAAACUUUAUAUAAGAAGAAUUAUCAUCUUUAUUCUACAGUUGAGAAAAUAAGUGGAAGCUCAGAGAAGUUAAGGGACGUACCCAAAGUCACACAGCAGGUCAGCGGCAGGGUUAGGAUUAGGACCUAGGCGUUUCAGAGGCCAGAGCUGUAGUUCUUUCGAGGCUCCCUGCUGAAAUUCCAGGGGGAAGCUUCGUCGUUUUGCCGAAUUAUUCCUCCUCACCCCGGAAAUGCUGGUCAGGAGAGGAGGACUAGGCUGCCCGGGGAACCAGGCCCACCUGUGUUGAAUCUGUUUGGCUCCGCUCUCAUCUGUCCAAAAGGCUUUCUGUGGCUGCGAGCUUUGUUUUCAGACACUGGGGCCCCAGGACUGGGAAGUGGGAGGGGUGCUGAUGGGAUGUUUACAAGUUCUAUCGGACAGUUUCCACUUUGUAAACUCAGUCUCCUGUCUGCAGGUUGUGUGUUCCAGAGCAGCCUGGGCUGCUGGCCUCCUGGGAGGUGGGAGGCGUUCCUGCUCCGGCUCUGACCUGGGACCUGCACCCUCUCCCUGGAUGCCUGAGGCCUUCCAGGGACCCCUAAAACCUGACAGUUUGGGCCAGCAAUUGGCAAACUGGCAAGUGCCGGGUCCCAGUGAGGCCCCUGGUUUCCUCCCCAAAUAGGAAGUAAAUGGGCAUUUUGUGUCCCCACUCAGGCAGAGCCUCUGGAUGGCCUCCCCCCACCGGUGCUUCCCCGACUCCCAGGGCUCUGGCAUAAAUCGGAGCCAUUUCCUUCUCCGGUUUCCCACCUGUGACUAGCCUUUGUCUAAUUUCACCACUGUGGGGACCAGGGGAGGGUUCCUUGGACAAUAAAUCUUUCAUCGGGAAGGUGGUUUUAUCAUUUGAAAGGAUGAUGUUAAAGAAAGAGAGGACAUAAGUGACUAAUGUGCUCAGGGGAUGGUGAAAAGGAAGAGCUCAGGGUGACCAGAAAGGGGUCAGGCUGGUAUGGCAGAGCAGGGCUGAGGAGGAGCGGGUGGAGAGAAUCAGGGAGGCACAUCAGGAAUGCCAGUCCGACACCUGACUGCAGAAAAGGGGCAAAGAGCUUCCUGGUUAGAAGAGAAACCAGGACCCGUGGUGUGGCUCCCUCUCCUCUCCAGAGCACAGGCUGUGGUCUGCUUUGACGUCAGCUCCCGGAUGCACCCAGGUUAUUGGACACGUUGCUUUCAGAUCUGGGCCAGCUGGGGAGGGAAGGGGCAGUGGGGGCAGCCCUCUCACUGAAGGAUGCCCAGAGGUACCUGGUGUGGAACAUCUGCAGGGUGAGCCAAGAUCAUCCUCCAGCCUUCAUCCCUUCAGGGAUGUUUCCCAACCCAGGCUCCCACUCCUGGCUCGUUUCUGAGACGGCAUCGGCAUUCCCAGGGCACUGAUGGCCAAAGCCACCAGGGGGCUGCCACAUGGAAUGGUGUUGGUAUCCCAGGUCACCCUCACUCUGGCUGAUCGGGCCCUAGAAGCAGAGGAAAUCCAAGAAAACCCUCGCUGGAGCCUAUGGACUCUACUGUCUCCCAGCCACCACUAUCUUUGGGACCAUCCUGCUCCAAAUGGUUGACAAUACUUGCUGCCUCCACUUUCUGGAUUCCCAUUCUCCCAGAACUCUACAGUCUAGCUUCUGCCCCACCCCACCCCACUGAAACUGCUCCUACCAAUGGUGUCAACAGCCUGACACCAAAUCCAGGGGUCACUUCCCAGUUUUUACUUUUUCUCUGAGCCAUCUGCCUGCUGAUUAUAAUCCUUUCUUCUCAAAAAUCUCAGUUCUAGGGGUUCUUAACCAGGGAUCCAUGAGUCCCUAGAUAGUCUUCAGGAAGAAACAAAAUGCAGUCCCUGAAACUGUUACACAAAGUGCUAUGCAAAUGUGCAUUUUCCUAGGGAGGCUGGUCCAAGGGCAUUCAUUGGAGUCUCAAAGGGAUCAUUGAUGUGCCCAAAUGCUAAGAACCGGUGCCCUUGAAACCUGUACUGGCCAGGAUUAGGUUCUUCUGGGAGUGGUCCGAGAUAGCAGCGGCUGAUUUGUCUUUCAUGGGUACAGAGGUAAGUCAUCAGAGCAGGAAUGGCGGCUCUGACCUGCGAAGUCCUCAGGAACUCAGGCUCUUUCUGGUUCUGUCUGCCAACCCCAGAGAGUAGCCUUCAACUUCGUGGUCCAAA